RNAcentral lists this transfer RNA (76 nucleotides) under Rickettsiales bacterium. Its description in RNAcentral is "tRNA-Met". It matches the Rfam family "tRNA". From Rfam's summary of the family: Transfer RNA (tRNA) molecules are approximately 80 nucleotides in length. Their secondary structure includes four short double-helical elements and three loops (D, anti-codon, and T loops). Further hydrogen bonds mediate the characteristic L-shaped molecular structure. tRNAs have two regions of fundamental functional importance: the anti-codon, which is responsible for specific mRNA codon recognition, and the 3' end, to which the tRNAs corresponding amino acid is attached (by aminoacyl-tRNA synthetases). tRNAs cope with the degeneracy of the genetic code in two manners: having more than one tRNA (with a specific anti-codon) for a particular amino acid; and 'wobble' base-pairing, i.e. permitting non-standard base-pairing at the 3rd anti-codon position. The record is from RNAcentral. Lineage: Bacteria; Pseudomonadati; Pseudomonadota; Alphaproteobacteria; Rickettsiales.
GGGGGUAUAGCUCAGCGGUUAGAGCAGGGCGCUCAUAACGCCUUGGUCGGGGGUUCAAAUCCCUCUACCCCCACCA